RNAcentral lists this long non-coding RNA (1461 nucleotides) under Homo sapiens (human). RNAcentral describes it as "non-protein coding lnc-TP53RK-1:4". The record is from RNAcentral. Lineage: Eukaryota; Metazoa; Chordata; Mammalia; Primates; Hominidae.
CUUCCUCUCCGCUCCCUUCCCAACCAAGAAGGACACGCAGAACUUUGCUGGAGAGAUCAAUGUUUCUAGAACACCCUGAAACAAAAGUCCUGAUAUGUGCAAAUAAUACACACCCACAAAAGAAAAUAACCUCUUUGCGCUGACACCCUGCCUCUCCGAAGAGGACGUUUUCUCCCUACUUGGAAUUUCCAUCAGCACCUGGGUUGGUACCAAACUCAGGACGUGGUGGACACGCUCUCUGACUCUGUAUUUCAGGAAGCUGCCAAUCAAUAGAGAUUUAAAGCUUCUGACUUCCGCAUAUCCGAAUACCAGGUAGGAAACAUCUGCUUUGGAGUAAGAGAAGGCCCCAGUACCUGCUUUUUCUCCGGAACCGUGAGAGGGAGCCAUGGGGAGGAGACCAGAAUUUCAGCCUUCCUAUCUCCCUUUACCACAAGGACGCCUUGAGGACCCAAGUCAAAUUGAGAUCUUUCAACCACGGGCUCGGAAACCCGCUUUCUGUGUCCACUUCAACCAAACACGUCUAACAGGCAGGAAUUUAGAGGUGGCCAAGGACUAAGGAUAUCUCUGAAAGCCUCAAAGAUCAUCAAAAUGAAGUCCAACAUUUGCUGUUUUUAAGGUGAGAUAUUUGGUAACGGAGUAUGAGAGAACUGGCUAAGGGGGCUUUUUGACAUAAGUCAAACAAUGACAUUUAAAACUCACGUAAAAGCAAUUACUGUGUGGAAUUUUUCUGUGUUUUUCUCAUUUCUUAAACAGAAGUGUAUAUGUUUUCAGCAUAGCUUCUUGCUGUAAUUUUCUUUCUUGACAAACCCACAUCUUACCAUGAAACCCAAAGUAUGCAUGCUGCAGAAACAAUAAUGGUUGAAACAGACCCGGCUGUCUCUGGCAUGAUUUUUCUUUACAAAAUUAAAAUGUCUUUUGGCUAAUACACGUGUAUUUCAGUUAUGAAAGGCCAUUCUUGGGAGAUGAAUAGAAAAGAAAGGGGAACUGACAGAUUUAGCUGACGCGAGACAAAAUUACAUUAGCAGAGAGUUGACAAUUCUCCUCUGAAUGACUGCAAGUAGAUACGUUCGUAUCUAUUACAUCUGGGAACACAGACUUUUAAAAAAUGUAACUUUACUAGAUACUCAAAAGGAAAAAAGAAGAAGAAAGUGCAAUGCCAUUGAAAUUACACACAUUUUCAUGUUACUGACACAACACUAUUGAUACCAAAUGACAAAAGAGUUUCUAACCUCUAUUACAUACUUUGUUCAUUUUUAAAGAUGUUUAAAUUGGCAUUGCGGCGCGUCUAAGUUCCUGUUUUAGAUUUCUGCAUAUAUCUGAAGGCAGAGGCAGACUUUUCAAAAAUGCACGAGCAGGCACAACUGUGUUCUGACUACUAUCAUCCAAAGGCGAUGACAGCGCUGACGAAGCCCCUGGAUCCUGCCAAAGUUUGUCCCAAAGACGAGUCUCUCAGCCCCCACU